UACAGAGGGUGCAAGCGUUGUUCGGAAUUAUUGGGCGUAAAGCGCGCGUAGGCGGUUUGAUAAGCCGGGUGUGAAACCUCCAAGCUCAACUUGGAGCGGCCACUCGGAACUGUCAUGACUUGAGUCAGGUAGGGGAACACGGAAUUCCAGGUGUAGCGGUGAAAUGCUUAGAGAUCCGGAGGAACACCAGUGGCGAAGGCGACACGCUGGGCCGUACCUGACACUGAUGCGCGACAGCAUGGGGAGCAAACAGG
RNAcentral lists this ribosomal RNA (254 nucleotides) under uncultured bacterium. RNAcentral's name for it is "partial 16S ribosomal RNA". It matches the Rfam family "Bacterial small subunit ribosomal RNA", at positions 524 to 776 of the family's 1533-position model. The record is from RNAcentral.